This 2772-nucleotide ribosomal RNA is filed under the name Staphylococcus aureus. RNAcentral's name for it is "23S ribosomal RNA". It matches the Rfam family "Bacterial large subunit ribosomal RNA". Lineage: Bacteria; Bacillati; Bacillota; Bacilli; Caryophanales; Staphylococcaceae. The record is from RNAcentral.
UUAAGUUAUUAAGGGCGCACGGUGGAUGCCUUGGCACUAGAAGCCGAUGAAGGACGUUACUAACGACGAUAUGCUUUGGGGAGCUGUAAGUAAGCUUUGAUCCAGAGAUUUCCGAAUGGGGAAACCCAGCAUGAGUUAUGUCAUGUUAUCGAUAUGUGAAUACAUAGCAUAUCAGAAGGCACACCCGGAGAACUGAAACAUCUUAGUACCCGGAGGAAGAGAAAGAAAAUUCGAUUCCCUUAGUAGCGGCGAGCGAAACGGGAAGAGCCCAAACCAACAAGCUUGCUUGUUGGGGUUGUAGGACACUCUAUACGGAGUUACAAAGGACGACAUUAGACGAAUCAUCUGGAAAGAUGAAUCAAAGAAGGUAAUAAUCCUGUAGUCGAAAAUGUUGUCUCUCUUGAGUGGAUCCUGAGUACGACGGAGCACGUGAAAUUCCGUCGGAAUCUGGGAGGACCAUCUCCUAAGGCUAAAUACUCUCUAGUGACCGAUAGUGAACCAGUACCGUGAGGGAAAGGUGAAAAGCACCCCGGAAGGGGAGUGAAAUAGAACCUGAAACCGUGUGCUUACAAGUAGUCAGAGCCCGUUAAUGGGUGAUGGCGUGCCUUUUGUAGAAUGAACCGGCGAGUUACGAUUUGAUGCAAGGUUAAGCAGUAAAUGUGGAGCCGUAGCGAAAGCGAGUCUGAAUAGGGCGUUUAGUAUUUGGUCGUAGACCCGAAACCAGGUGAUCUACCCUUGGUCAGGUUGAAGUUCAGGUAACACUGAAUGGAGGACCGAACCGACUUACGUUGAAAAGUGAGCGGAUGAACUGAGGGUAGCGGAGAAAUUCCAAUCGAACCUGGAGAUAGCUGGUUCUCUCCGAAAUAGCUUUAGGGCUAGCCUCAAGUGAUGAUUAUUGGAGGUAGAGCACUGUUUGGACGAGGGGCCCCUCUCGGGUUACCGAAUUCAGACAAACUCCGAAUGCCAAUUAAUUUAACUUGGGAGUCAGAACAUGGGUGAUAAGGUCCGUGUUCGAAAGGGAAACAGCCCAGACCACCAGCUAAGGUCCCAAAAUAUAUGUUAAGUGGAAAAGGAUGUGGCGUUGCCCAGACAACUAGGAUGUUGGCUUAGAAGCAGCCAUCAUUUAAAGAGUGCGUAAUAGCUCACUAGUCGAGUGACACUGCGCCGAAAAUGUACCGGGGCUAAACAUAUUACCGAAGCUGUGGAUUGUCCUUUGGACAAUGGUAGGAGAGCGUUCUAAGGGCGUUGAAGCAUGAUCGUAAGGACAUGUGGAGCGCUUAGAAGUGAGAAUGCCGGUGUGAGUAGCGAAAGACGGGUGAGAAUCCCGUCCACCGAUUGACUAAGGUUUCCAGAGGAAGGCUCGUCCGCUCUGGGUUAGUCGGGUCCUAAGCUGAGGCCGACAGGCGUAGGCGAUGGAUAACAGGUUGAUAUUCCUGUACCACCUAUAAUCGUUUUAAUCNNNNNNNNNNNNNNNNNNNNNNNNNNNNNNNNNNNNNNNNNNNNNNNNNNNNNNNNNNNNNNNNNNNNNNNNNNNNNNNNNNNNNNNNNNNCUCGUUAAGGAACUCGGCAAAAUGACCCCGUAACUUCGGGAGAAGGGGUGCUCUUUAGGGUUAACGCCCAGAAGAGCCGCAGUGAAUAGGCCCAAGCGACUGUUUAUCAAAAACACAGGUCUCUGCUAAACCGUAAGGUGAUGUAUAGGGGCUGACGCCUGCCCGGUGCUGGAAGGUUAAGAGGAGUGGUUAGCUUCUGCGAAGCUACGAAUCGAAGCCCCAGUAAACGGCGGCCGUAACUAUAACGGUCCUAAGGUAGCGAAAUUCCUUGUCGGGUAAGUUCCGACCCGCACGAAAGGCGUAACGAUUUGGGCACUGUCUCAACGAGAGACUCGGUGAAAUCAUAGUACCUGUGAAGAUGCAGGUUACCCGCGACAGGACGGAAAGACCCCGUGGAGCUUUACUGUAGCCUGAUAUUGAAAUUCGGCACAGCUUGUACAGGAUAGGUAGGAGCCUUUGAAACGUGAGCGCUAGCUUACGUGGAGGCGCUGGUGGGAUACUACCCUAGCUGUGUUGGCUUUCUAACCCGCACCACUUAUCGUGGUGGGAGACAGUGUCAGGCGGGCAGUUUGACUGGGGCGGUCGCCUCCUAAAAGGUAACGGAGGCGCUCAAAGGUUCCCUCAGAAUGGUUGGAAAUCAUUCAUAGAGUGUAAAGGCAUAAGGGAGCUUGACUGCGAGACCUACAAGUCGAGCAGGGUCGAAAGACGGACUUAGUGAUCCGGUGGUUCCGCAUGGAAGGGCCAUCGCUCAACGGAUAAAAGCUACCCCGGGGAUAACAGGCUUAUCUCCCCCAAGAGUUCACAUCGACGGGGAGGUUUGGCACCUCGAUGUCGGCUCAUCGCAUCCUGGGGCUGUAGUCGGUCCCAAGGGUUGGGCUGUUCGCCCAUUAAAGCGGUACGCGAGCUGGGUUCAGAACGUCGUGAGACAGUUCGGUCCCUAUCCGUCGUGGGCGUAGGAAAUUUGAGAGGAGCUGUCCUUAGUACGAGAGGACCGGGAUGGACAUACCUCUGGUGUACCAGUUGUCGUGCCAACGGCAUAGCUGGGUAGCUAUGUGUGGACGGGAUAAGUGCUGAAAGCAUCUAAGCAUGAAGCCCCCCUCAAGAUGAGAUUUCCCAACUUCGGUUAUAAGAUCCCUCAAAGAUGAUGAGGUUAAUAGGUUCGAGGUGGAAGCAUGGUGACAUGUGGAGCUGACGAAUACUAAUCGAUCGAAGACUUAAUCAA